Molecule: transfer RNA, 72 nt
Filed under: Ktedonobacterales bacterium
Lineage: Bacteria; Bacillati; Chloroflexota; Ktedonobacteria; Ktedonobacterales
Description: tRNA-Arg
Rfam family: tRNA
About the family: Transfer RNA (tRNA) molecules are approximately 80 nucleotides in length. Their secondary structure includes four short double-helical elements and three loops (D, anti-codon, and T loops).
Source: RNAcentral
GGCUCCGUAGCUUAAUGGACAAAGCACCCGCCUUCUAAGCGGGGCAUCUGGGUUCGAUUCCCAGCGGGGCCG